CAUCUUGUACCGUUUUUCCAUUUUAUUAAUUGCUGCACUUUUUCACGUGUUUCUCAUUUUCUCACGCUUGCAAAACGAAAAACUGAAAAUGCGUCUCAAACGAAGCAGCAAAAUUUAAAGCAACCGUUUAGCACUGUGGUGGUGUGGUAUUACUUACAUUUCUGUCAGCUUUUUUACAGGACAUGAGUAAACAGUUUUCACUCUCCAGAAGAAAAUAACUGCUAACACAGUUUCGGUCAUCAUAAAUAAAUGAAAAUAAAAUAAAGUAAAAUUACCGUUAAUCACCAAGUUCUUUUCAUUUUGUGUGUAAUUUAUAUAUUUUUGCACAUGCAAGAAUAUUCAUCCUAUCACACUGCAGCGUCUCCAAUGACAUGAUUUAAUGAACUAGACAGCAGUGUGUUUAGUUAUAACGAUGUCACGUGUUUCACACUUUGACACUGGUCCGUUGUGUCUCUCAGUGAAAGGGAGAAUAAGAGAGACAGGCUGGUGAGCUUAAGCAAAAAGGAAAGUGAGAAAGAAUCAAUACCUGAAUCUGAUACAAUGUUAUCAAUCGUUUAUUUUGUUUUUCUGGUCUCUUGCUCAGCCCUAGCACAGAGUGAAAAUGAAGCUCUUUCAGUUUGGUGGGAGCCAGAGAUGCCCUCACAUUCUGAAACCUCACACAGUUUGAUGGACGGCUAUGGAGAAUAUGAAGUUUUCGAGAGGUCGGCCGAAAAUCAUCUUCUGUUGUGCAUGUCAAGAGGUUGUAAAACGAGCUAAAAAGGCAGUUUCUCAAAAGCUACAAAAGAAAAUAAACGCUGUUUGUUACAAAUACAUAGAGCCGUUUCGAAAGAUCUGCUUUCAGCGUGCAAUGAAAUAUCGGGACAUCAUACUGCACAAGAUCUUCCCUGGAAGGAAUGCGAAGGCGCACAUGUGUGAAGAUAAAGUUAUGCUAGUAACAACUGUGACAAUGGCUGCAGAAGGGAUACAUUUACAUUGACUGUUAUUAGCUAACGUCAAAUCUGUUUUUAUAUUAUCAAAGCUGUUUUUCAUUAUUUGAGAGAAAAUUGUAAGUUGAAUAUUUUUUGUUAUGUACUUGAAUAUUUAUCAGCUAUGGGGUCUUAUGUUUUCAUUUAUGCUUUUCAGAAAAUCAAUGAAAUAUGCAUGGAAACUUCCCCAUUCGAGCCCUUCUGCUUUUCUGUAGCAAAGGCAUACAAAGAAUCCAUAAUGAGGGUUCUUUUUCCUGGAGGUACUCCUAUUGGCACCUGCAGAGUGAUGAGGUUAUGUGAUCAAGACAAUAAGAUCAAAAAAUGCAGUUAAAAGUUAUGUUUAAUCAGAAAUCCCUUUAAAAUGUUUUAAUAGAUGGAUGUUUAUUGUAUUGAAGAUUACUAUUGCUUUUUGGGGGGAUCCUCUGUAAGGUGUAAGAUUGUGUUAUAAUUGUCAUGUGAUUUUCUGGUUAUUUUCUGUUGAUAGUCAUAUUUUUUUCUUAUUAAAGUUGUUUCUCAUUAAAGACUGAUACUGUUUGAGCUCCAGUAAUUCACAUCAGGCAAAUGGCUAGUGAAAUGGGUAGAGAAUGUAAAUCAUGCAGUUAAAAAAAUAAAACUUCAAACUUUGAACUUCAAAA
Long non-coding RNA from Megalobrama amblycephala (Wuchang bream), 1600 nucleotides. RefSeq lists it as uncharacterized. The transcript is spliced from 4 exons. Lineage: Eukaryota; Metazoa; Chordata; Actinopteri; Cypriniformes; Xenocyprididae. The record is from RefSeq and is a predicted model, not a curated record.